UUGUAGGCAUUACUACUGUGAGAUUGUUACCUUUCAGCAUUUGUUCUGGACUGCUUGUCUGUGGGGAAGGCACAAAAGCCUGCUGGUUCUGCAUACAUUUUGUUUCUGGUCCAUGGCCCUACUACUCUGGCUCCAAAGCCCAGGAAACUCAAAUGUCGUCACAGACUGCUGUGAGCUGCUCUUUUCCGUACCUUCCUUCACUUUGGGGAGCUGUUUCUUCUGACUCAACAAUAAAUAGCAGAGAAGGGAUGUACUCUGGGAGUUCAGAUAUAUGAUAUGUACGAAGUCAUGCUUUCUGAUUGUGAAGGGGACCACAAGUAAAUCCUCCUUGUGCACCCAGAUUGGAUCUUGCAUUGAAAAACAUCAAAACCUGAAUUAUACGGAGGCUAUGCAGCACUAUGUAUGUUAGUGACUGACAUACUCUAGCAGUGAUAUCACUAUUGCUUAAACAUCAGUGAAGAAGCUACCAAGCAAAUGAGAAAGUUACAAGUUCUAGCGGCUGCACUGAACUGCCUGUUACAGAGACAUCAGGCAGGAUAAACAAGUGUACAACAUUGUGAAAGCACUUUUUAACAGCCAGGCCUCCAACUCCGACCAAGUGUGCUAAAGGCUGAUAAGAGUGCUCUUUGAGAGAACAAUUCAUGGGUUACAAGAAGCAUUAAAUGUGUGUGGAGAAACAUCUUGAAACCUCAAAUCCUGCAGAGUUGUUUUGGAUUAAGGGGGAGGAAAAGGAUGGGACUCUUGUCUAAACGUCAGGUAUAGACAGACAUACCCCAGAGUUGUGGCACCCAUUAAUAGAUCAAGCAAGGCUGUGCAGCUGUGUUUUGAUCAGUGGAAAGGUUUCCUGGCAUCCAAGAACUGAAAUCACCUUUUGGGUCAUCACACCUCACUGGAGUUUUCCCUGGUUUAAUGAGCAACUUGGAAACCAUAGAGAGGACCAGAGGUUGGGGUUGUUGUACAUUCUUGUAUUAGAAAGCUGCUCCAUAGCAUCCGCAAGAGGAUUUUUGGCACCUGUCUAGUUACACUGGAUGUCCAAUGUUAUCUCUCCAGGCAAGUAAGAUUCUGGCAAUCACUGCAGUCCUAUUUCACUUGUUCUCAGUCUUUUUGACAUAAACACAUUAA
This is a long non-coding RNA of Athene cunicularia (burrowing owl), 1122 nucleotides long. RefSeq lists it as uncharacterized. The record is from RefSeq and is a predicted model, not a curated record. The transcript is spliced from 6 exons. NCBI's taxonomy places the organism in Eukaryota, Metazoa, Chordata, Aves, Strigiformes, Strigidae.